This 2682-nucleotide unclassified non-coding RNA is filed under the name Hevea brasiliensis (rubber tree). Lineage: Eukaryota; Viridiplantae; Streptophyta; Magnoliopsida; Malpighiales; Euphorbiaceae. The record is from RNAcentral.
GGAAAGAAAACUUGUAGCUUAUUUCAUUCAUAAUCCCUAGUUCUAGGAUUUACAAGCUUGUAUUCUGUUACAGAAUUUAAGUUUAGAUCAUGCGAUUCUGACAUGAAUUUUAAAAAAGAUCAAUUUUAGAUGCUUAACAACAGUGUUUUUAUGUACAAUUUUGAUGAAUGGUACAGUUUUGAAUGCCCUGCUACAAUACUAUUAUGGGUAGCAUGUGGUGGACAAACGGAUUUUUAUUUGUCUAGUUGGAUACUGUAUGUGAUUCUACUCUCCAAACAUGUGAGAAAAAAAAAUUGAUUUCCUUGUGACCACUCUCAUUUUAAUUCAUCCUCAGCUCCAAUGUCAUUUCCUUUGUUCUGCAUACAUGAAUAUGGCUGUUAAAUAUUUGUUUUUUGCUAUUGAUUCCUCGUCUCUGGUUUUCAUAUACCAAGUCUUCUGUUGUUAAUCUUCCGCUACUCUAUAGGAGACGUCUCUACUAGCCUGCUUCAUGGUAGCAUGUUGAAGAACUUGCUCGCCAAAAGCCAUGACAUGGUAAUACCUCUCAUACCCUUGCGAUCAGAUUAUGCAACUUCACAAAAUCAUCCAGGGUAAGCUCCUCUGGUCUUGAAGUGGCUGCAAGACCAACAUUUUCAAGAGCUUCUUCAAUUUCAAGGGAUGUGCAUAUGUGCUGAAGCGAUCUUCGCAACAUCUUUCGUUUCCCAUUGAAUGCAGAAUUCACCUAUAUCAGAAAAAGGGCUUGAUUAGUGUAAAAAAAAAAAAAUCUUGGUUAAAAGAUAGAACUUGUCAUAAGACCAUAGUUAAAACAUCCCAAGUUUGGAAGUAGUCAAUGUUUAAUCUAAGUUCUUUAAGUUACCAGCAAAGACCAAAAACAAAGGUUGUUAUGCAUAAUAGUUUGGGCAUUGGAAAGGAAACAACCAUUGAGAAGAAGCUUUUAGUGGAGGAAACUGCUGGAUAAUCUGCAGCUUGCUUUAGCUUAAAUGUAACAACAGCUGCAUCAACCUACCAAAAAGAAAGAGGGAGAGGGGGGUUGUUGGGUUAUGAUCAGUUCUCUGGACAUUCUUCAGAUAAAGUCAAAGCAAAACCUUAUUCUGAAUAUGCAAACAUAAUCAACAUUUGGUGAUAUAAAUAGAUAAUAUUCUUCUAUGCCUAUUGAGUCUUUAGACAGAAACUUGCAUAAAUAAUUUAUUUGCAUCCUAGGCAAACCAAAUUACUUACAUUGGGCUGAGGGAAAAAAGCUGACCUUGGGACCUUAAAUUUGUAUUCAGGAUCUGAAAAAGGAGCCAGCAUACUGAAACUAGGUCUUAAAGAAGAUAAACAAUACAUGCACAAAUAAUAAUGGGUCCAAUGAAAAUAGCUAAGCUAGAAGCAUAAAAGACUUAAAAGUUGUUCUUCACCUCAUUUAAUCCCUGAUUAGAAAAUGAGAAUGCUAGCAACAGUCCAAAUGAAUGUGAAGUUUCAUUAACAAUGUUAAAGAAACUGACAUAGAAAUCAACAAGAACUUAACAUGGAAAAUGGAAGUAGAACUCAAAACUCAAAUAAUUCACUUAAAAAUAUAAGCACACACACACAUACAAACAAAACAAAAAGAUUGGGACUCCUGUUAUCUUUAUCUUCCAUGACAAAAAUUGUACGUUUCAUUUGUAAACCAAAAGCUUGAAAGCAGAAUGGUUGAAUCAAAGCAUUAAAGUCCACUGAUCAAAAGCUCCUAAAAGACAGAUUUCAAACAGAUUUUUAUUGCUGAGGCACCUGAAUAAAAAUUGACAAAGAUAUUGAUAGGUCGGUAUUCUGACGUUCUUAAGGAUGAUUCCACCAAACGCAGCGCUGUUUCCUCCUGGAGUAAAAGGACAACGUCUGAGAAAAUGUCACCCAUCGGAAGCAAUUGUUUAACUACAUCCGUACUUAUAUUAAAUGGUAUAUUAGAGACUACUUUUGCACAUCUUGGCUUUUGAUCCAAAGAACUUAUGCUUUCAAAAAGCGAGAACAUGUGGGAACCAAUGUGACAUUUGACAAAGUCCUCUUGCAAAACCUUCAAACGGUCUAUAUAAGCAAAUCUCUGUUUAACUAGAGCAGCCAUGUGAGGAUCUUUCUCAAUAGCAAGAACGGUGGCUCCUGUGUCCAGAAGAACGUUAGUCAAAGAACCAGUUCCAGGUCCAAUUUCAAGAACCACAUCUGCAUCUUGAACAUUAGCGGCAGCAGCAAGUUGCUCGUUAACCUCAGAAUUCAACAUGUAAUGCUGCACUGGGUAAAGAUUUCUAAAGAUUUAAGUUAUUGCAUUAGAUUUACACAGAAAAAAUCACUAUUUAUAUAUUUAACCCAAAAGAUGAUCAUGGAGAGUUCCAUUUUCCCUCCUCCCGUAAAUGUUGGACGGCAAAUUGAACAGCACUUCAAAAGAAAUGUCGGGAGGGAAAGAAAGAGAGAGAUUCAUAUAAGGUAAAAAGUGGAAUAGAAAACCUGGCCAAGGGAUUUCCUGGGUCUGUGGCCUCUGGAGUUGAGGGCUCUGACUGUGGCGUGGUAAUCGUCUGGGCUUCUCCUCGCGCCACAGGUAAUGGUUAGCUUUCGUCUUUGUACUUCAGCUUUGCUAUUGUGCGCCGGGAGUGAAUGUCUAACUCUGCCCCUGGGUUUUCGAGGAGCUAUUGGAGGGACUGGUUGCAGGAGAUAAGGCGCGGAGCUCAUCUUCUUCUC